UUAACUUAUUUGUUUUUUUGCUCAGAGAUACAGGUAUAAAAGAGUUUGGUAGUCCUUCGGCGGUCACUCCCGGGUAGCUAGCUACAGGGUAGGCCCGCCGAGGCAACAGGUAUGUUCACAUGGGUUUAGGGAGUUUUACAACUCUAUAAUGAUCCCUCCGCUGGUUCACCAACGGAGA
Molecule: unclassified non-coding RNA, 178 nt
Filed under: uncultured fungus
Lineage: Eukaryota; Fungi
Description: sequence contains ITS1
Source: RNAcentral